Molecule: ribosomal RNA, 757 nt
Filed under: Apilactobacillus kunkeei
Lineage: Bacteria; Bacillati; Bacillota; Bacilli; Lactobacillales; Lactobacillaceae
Description: bacterial SSU rRNA
Rfam family: Bacterial small subunit ribosomal RNA
Source: RNAcentral
UCCAUGUGUAGCGGUGAAAUGCGUAGAUAUAUGGAAGAACACCAGUGGCGAAGGCGGCUUUCUGGUCUGUUACUGACGCUGAGGCUCGAAAGCAUGGGUAGCGAACAGGAUUAGAUACCCUGGUAGUCCAUGCCGUAAACGAUGAAUACUAGGUGUUGGAGGGUUUCCGCCCUUCAGUGCCGCAGCUAACGCAUUAAGUAUUCCGCCUGGGGAGUACGACCGCAAGGUUGAAACUCAAAGGAAUUGACGGGGGCCCGCACAAGUGGUGGAGCAUGUGGUUUAAUUCGAUGCUACGCGAAGAACCUUACCAGCUCUUGACAUCUUCUGCCAACCCAAGAGAUUGGGCGUUCCCUUCGGGGACAGAAUGACAGGUGGUGCAUGGUUGUCGUCAGCUCGUGUCGUGAGAUGUUGGGUUAAGUCCCGCAACGAGCGCAACCCUUAUUAUUAGUUGCCAGCAUUUAGUUGGGCACUCUAGUGAGACUGCCGGUGAUAAACCGGAGGAAGGUGGGGACGACGUCAAAUCAUCAUGCCCCUUAUGAGCUGGGCUACACACGUGCUACAAUGGAUGGUACAACGAGUCGCGAAACCGCGAGGUCAAGCUAAUCUCUUAAAGCCAUUCUCAGUUCGGAUUGCAGGCUGCAACUCGCCUGCAUGAAGUUGGAAUCACUAGUAAUCGUGGAUCAGCAUGCCACGGUGAAUACGUUCCCGGGCCUUGUACACACCGCCCGUCACACCAUGAGAGUUUGUAACACCCAAA